This 464-nucleotide ribosomal RNA is filed under the name uncultured bacterium. Its description in RNAcentral is "partial 16S ribosomal RNA". It matches the Rfam family "Bacterial small subunit ribosomal RNA", at positions 28 to 506 of the family's 1533-position model. The record is from RNAcentral.
GACGAACGCUGGCGGCGUGCUUAACACAUGCAAGUCGAACGGAAAGGCCCUGCUUGCCGGGUACUCGAGUGGCGAACGGGUGAGUAACACGUGGGUGAUCUGCCCUUCACUUCGGGAUAAGCCUGGUAAACUGGGUCUAAUACCGGAUAGGAGCCAUUUUUAGUGUGAUGGUUGGAAAGUUUUUUCGGUGUAGGAUGAGCUCGCGGCCUAUCAGCUUGUUGGUGGGGUAAUGGCCUACCAAGGCGGCGACGGGUAGCCGGCCUGAGAGGGUGGACGGCCAAAUGGGGACUGAGAGACGGCCCAGACUCCUACGGGAGGCAGCAGUGGGGAAUAUUGCACAAUGGGCGCAAGCCUGAUGCAGCGACGCCGCGUGGGGGAUGACGGCCUUCGGGUUGUAAACUCCUUUCGCUAGGGACGAAGCUUUUUGUGACGGGACCUAGAUAAGAAGCACCGGCGAACUACGU